Molecule: ribosomal RNA, 20 nt
Filed under: Epichloe tembladerae
Lineage: Eukaryota; Fungi; Ascomycota; Sordariomycetes; Hypocreales; Clavicipitaceae
Description: partial 18S ribosomal RNA
Source: RNAcentral
GAACUUACCUUUACUGUUGC